UUUUUACAAAACAUUUUUGCAGAUAAUAUAGUUCUCGACUUCUUGUUGUUUUGAAUCCUUUUUUAAAAUGUUUUCGAGAUAAACUUUCUGCCUUUGACCAUUUGGUCAAAGAUAUCCAAGUCGUACGUGUUUAAUCUCGCCCGUGAAAGACGACAAACUAAUUUUAAAAACUCAAGAAAUGUGGGAAAAGACGAUACUUGAAAUAUAUGGAUUUACACUCGGAUUUACAAAGGUAAAAAACGUAUUUUCAUAUUUAAUUUUAUUUAGACUUUUAUAUCUUAUUUGACAUCUACUAUCAGACUUAUCUUUUAAAAGAGGGAAUUAGGUUUUGUGUUAUGCACCACUUAAUUUUAUGUAUAAGCUGGGGGUGCUGGAAGCUGUCAGCUGAUCUGGGAAUUAAGGUGGUUUCUACCUAGCUUUCUUGCAUGGUUGGGGAUACUUCUUGAUUUUUGUGUCAUAUAAAUAGUAAUAUAGAGGCUUGAGAUAAAUCACUUUUCCCUAAGCUGAGGUAAUAAGGUUUAGUUGAGGUGUGUGCCAAGGCAUUACAUGUGUCAGUGUGAUCGCACCUCAUUCCCAGGAUGGCCUGUUUUCUUACAAGUUUUCUCAGUAAAUAUCACUCUGAAUCAACAAUGUACUUUAUAAGUACACUCAUAGUUCUGAUACCCAUGGUUUAAGCUGAGGAGUAUGUUAGGUCACAUUCUUUUGUUACCUUGAUCAUAUGCUAUAAUUAUGUUACUGGUGGAUUCUUGUACAACCUGUAUAAUUAAUCUAUUCUUUUUUAUUGCAGAUUUAUUCCACAAUGACACACUCCUUUGUGGGUGGCAAAAUACAGUACCAAGCCACAUCUUUGGAAACUGAACAUACUGUAUUUUACAUGCUUCCAGAAAUUAUGUCACCUUGGCUAUAGGCUAUAGAGUAAUUUUCAUGAUUCAGACAUGCAUUGGACUAAAACUCAUGCCACAUACAUGAAAACAAGGCUCCAUAGCCAAAGUGACAUACAUUCUGGAAGGGUGUAUUUGACUUUUUGUAAAAUUAUUAGCAGUAAAC
Molecule: non-coding RNA, 1047 nt
Organism: Paramuricea clavata
Lineage: Eukaryota; Metazoa; Cnidaria; Anthozoa; Malacalcyonacea; Plexauridae
Source: the annotation of a GenBank genome assembly